GAGAAAUGAGGAAACUUAAUGAAGUCUUAUCUCACAGUGAGGACUCUCAGAUCCAACUCUGAUCUCAUAUCUGUC
Molecule: small nucleolar RNA, 75 nt
Organism: Hyla sarda
Lineage: Eukaryota; Metazoa; Chordata; Amphibia; Anura; Hylidae
Product: small nucleolar RNA SNORD19
Exons: 1
Source: RefSeq, a predicted model, not a curated record